GAGUUCUUUCCCUCCUACUAAUUGGCUU
Molecule: small RNA, 28 nt
Filed under: Bombyx mori (domestic silkworm)
Lineage: Eukaryota; Metazoa; Arthropoda; Insecta; Lepidoptera; Bombycidae
Description: ovarian small RNA-16040
Source: RNAcentral